This 409-nucleotide ribosomal RNA is filed under the name uncultured bacterium. RNAcentral describes it as "bacterial SSU rRNA". It matches the Rfam family "Bacterial small subunit ribosomal RNA", at positions 355 to 773 of the family's 1533-position model. The record is from RNAcentral.
UGGGGAAUUUUUCGCAAUGGGGGCAACCCUGACGAAGCAAUGCCGCGUGGAUGAUGAAGUAUCUCGGUACGUAAAAUCCUUUCGACGGGGACGAAACCGCAAGGUUGACGGUACCCGUAGAAGAAGCCCCGGCUAACUCCGUGCCAGCAGCCGCGGUAAUACGGGGGGGGCAAGCGUUGUUCGGAAUUACUGGGCGUAAAGGGUGCGUAGGCGGUUCUCUAAGUCGGAUGUGAAAACUCUGGGCUCAACCCAGAGCCUGCAUCCGAAACUGGAGGACUAGGGUUCUGGAGGGGAAAGCGGAAUUCCUGGUGUAGCGGUGAAAUGCGUAGAUAUCAGGAGGAACACCGGUGGCGAAGGCGGCUUUCUGGACAGAUACCGACGCUGAGGCACGAAAGCUAGGGGAGCAAAC